This 612-nucleotide long non-coding RNA is filed under the name Homo sapiens (human). Its description in RNAcentral is "HSALNT0108591". Lineage: Eukaryota; Metazoa; Chordata; Mammalia; Primates; Hominidae. The record is from RNAcentral.
GAAGUUCGUGCCUUUUGCAGUGGGGAGGAGCCUGGCCCUUCCUCUUCCUGGGUGUUACCUGGAAUUCAAUCUGCCAGGUGGGAAGCAUGUACUAACGAGACUCUCAGUCUUCCUUUGUGGAGAGUCCCUGUUUCCUUUUCUUUUCCCUUUUCACCCAAUAAAUUCCUUUUUUCUCCCCUUUUAAAUUAUAUGUGAGCCUUUUUUCAUGAUCAUGUGACGAGGACCCUGUCUUUAGCUGAGCUACGGAGAGAGUCCUGCAACACCUUCACGUAGACAUUCUUGAGAAUGGAGCUAUUCUGGAGAGAGAAUGGCAGUGGAUUAAAAGUUCUGAACCUGCCUGGGUCUCAAUCACAGAAACCUGAAACAGCCAUUGGACCCCCAUUGCUAAUCCCUGUGCAGUCUGUAGUCACACCUGGAGUGUCAGCUUUUAUAGGUGGAGAUUGAAGUUGGGAAAAGCAAUCACUUUCAGAAAGCAAACCCUCUUGUUCCUGGUGCUCAGCUGGAAGAUUGCCCCGGCCUCUGGGUUUAGUGAAUAAUAAACUUCCAAACUUCCUUCCUUCACAACCACUGACCAUGACUAACUCUUUGUGAAAGAACUCUGAACACUAUAAG